GGAUGAACGCUAGCUACAGGCUUAACACAUGCAAGUCGAGGGGCAUCAGGAAGAAAGCUUGCUUUCUUUGCUGGCGACCGGCGCACGGGUGAGUAACACGUAUCCAACCUGCCCUUUACUCGGGGAUAGCCUUUCGAAAGAAAGAUUAAUACCCGAUAGCAUAAUGAUUCCGCAUGGUUUCAUUAUUAAAGGAUUCCGGUAAAGGAUGGGGAUGCGUUCCAUUAGGUUGUUGGUGAGGUAACGGCCCACCAAGCCUUCGAUGGAUAGGGGUUCUGAGAGGAAGGUCCCCCACAUUGGAACUGAGACACGGUCCAAACUCCUACGGGAGGCAGCAGUGAGGAAUAUUGGUCAAUGGGCGCUAGCCUGAACCAGCCAAGUAGCGUGAAGGAUGAAGGCUCUAUGGGUCGUAAACUUCUUUUAUAUAAGAAUAAAGUGCAGUAUGUAUACUGUUUUGUAUGUAUUAUAUGAAUAAGGAUCGGCUAACUCCGUGCCAGCAGCCGCGGUAAUACGGAGGAUCCGAGCGUUAUCCGGAUUUAUUGGGUUUAAAGGGAGCGUAGGUGGACUGGUAAGUCAGUUGUGAAAGUUUGCGGCUCAACCGUAAAAUUGCAGUUGAUACUGUCAGUCUUGAGUACAGUAGAGGUGGGCGGAAUUCGUGGUGUAGCGGUGAAAUGCUUAGAUAUCACGAAGAACUCCGAUUGCGAAGGCAGCUCACUGGACUGCAACUGACACUGAUGCUCGAAAGUGUGGGUAUCAAACAGGAUUAGAUACCCUGGUAGUCCACACAGUAAACGAUGAAUACUCGCUGUUUGCGAUAUACAGUAAGCGGCCAAGCGAAAGCAUUAAGUAUUCCACCUGGGGAGUACGCCGGCAACGGUGAAACUCAAAGGAAUUGACGGGGGCCCGCACAAGCGGAGGAACAUGUGGUUUAAUUCGAUGAUACGCGAGGAACCUUACCCGGGCUUAAAUUGCAGUGGAAUGAUGUGGAAACAUGUCAGUGAGCAAUCACCGCUGUGAAGGUGCUGCAUGGUUGUCGUCAGCUCGUGCCGUGAGGUGUCGGCUUGAGUGCCAUAACGAGCGCAACCCUUAUCUUUAGUUACUAACAGGUUAUGCUGAGGACUCUAGAGAGACUGCCGUCGUAAGAUGUGAGGAAGGUGGGGAUGACGUCAAAUCAGCACGGCCCUUACGUCCGGGGCUACACACGUGUUACAAUGGGGGGUACAGAAGGCAGCUAGCGGGUGACCGUAUGCUAAUCCCAAAAUCCUCUCUCAGUUCGGAUCGAAGUCUGCAACCCGACUUCGUGAAGCUGGAUUCGCUAGUAACCGCGCAUCAGCCACGGCGCGGUGAAUACGUCCCCGGGCCUUGUACACACCGCCCGUCAAGCCAUGGGAGCCGGGGGUACCUGAAGUACGUAACCGCAAGGAUCGUCCUAGGGUAAAACUGGUG
RNAcentral lists this ribosomal RNA (1443 nucleotides) under uncultured organism. RNAcentral describes it as "SSU rRNA". It matches the Rfam family "Bacterial small subunit ribosomal RNA". The record is from RNAcentral.